GACGAACGCUGGCGGCGUGCUUAACACAUGCAAGUCGAACGGAAAGGCCCUGCUUUUGUGGGGUGCUCGAGUGGCGAACGGGUGAGUAACACGUGAGUAACCUGCCCUUGACUUUGGGAUAACUUCAGGAAACUGGGGCUAAUACCGGAUAGGAUCUCCUGCUGCAUGGUGGGGGUUGGAAAGUUUCGGCGGUUGGGGGUGGACUCGCGGCUUAUCAGCUUGUUGGUGGGGUAGUGGAUUACCAAGGCUUUGACGGGUAGCAGGCCUGAGCGGGUGACCGGCCACGCUGGGACUGAGAUAAGGCACGGCCUCGACCGGGAGGGAACGGUGGGGAAUAUUGCACAAGGGGCGGAAGCAUGAUGUAGCAACGCCGCGUGCGGGAUGACGGCCUUCGGGUAGUAAACCGCUUUCGCCUGUGACGAAGCGUGAGUGACGGUAAUGGGUAAAGAAGCACCGGCUAACUACGUG
Molecule: ribosomal RNA, 468 nt
Filed under: uncultured bacterium
Lineage: Bacteria
Description: partial 16S ribosomal RNA
Rfam family: Bacterial small subunit ribosomal RNA
Source: RNAcentral